Molecule: long non-coding RNA, 746 nt
Organism: Daphnia pulicaria
Lineage: Eukaryota; Metazoa; Arthropoda; Branchiopoda; Diplostraca; Daphniidae
Exons: 3
Source: RefSeq, a predicted model, not a curated record
GCCUUUAACUGACUGCUCCAAGAGAAAAAAAAAACAAUAUUUUGAGGUAUGACAGUAGUCAACAGAAAUCGGUCGGCUUCAGGCGCAGACUUUCAGGCAACCAUUUCGUCGCAGUUAUUUGUCAACGCUUGGAAAAGAUAGAAAAUUUACUUGUGGCUGCUUUAUUGGCGCCAACAAUGAAGAGUCUUCGAGUUCUCACUCCCAGGAGGUGGGGAGCUAUUUUAGACCCAGUCCAUAUCGUUGAACUGGACAGAAUAAGAAUGCCUGUUGUUUCCAGUGUGGUCCAUCUAGUCUAUGCCAAAACAAAAAGGAAAUAAGCCAAAGCCAAUCAGUUAAUAUGGCCACAGUGGUGGUUUAUCUCACUACUGAAAUCAAAAAUUUCAAAAUUACAAGCCCAUGUUGAACAAAACAGGAGCUUUGAGAAAAAUUCGAUUCUAUCAUAAUGAACCUUUUUCUAUUUUGAUAUUCACUAUGUUUUUCAAAAAGGUUUAAUUUUAAUUCGCAGAACACAAGUUUUAACGCAUUUAUAAGAGUGUUCAGUGUUGGCGAUCUUUCGCUUUUGAAGUUUUGACUUUUGAUAUGCAACAAUUCGUCUGCUCUUGUUGCCAGAUUUCAAACGAAUAAUUCGCAUUUUGUAGAGAAUAAUUUUUUUCCCCUUGAAAAUUGACAUGCCAUGACAUAAUGAAAUGAUUCGUAAUUAUCUCUUAUCUUGUUGAAACAAAACUAUAUUUUUCAUUAGUACAGUU